Molecule: transfer RNA, 52 nt
Filed under: Distichium capillaceum
Lineage: Eukaryota; Viridiplantae; Streptophyta; Bryopsida; Pseudoditrichales; Ditrichaceae
Description: partial tRNA-Phe
Rfam family: tRNA (bases 7-52)
About the family: Transfer RNA (tRNA) molecules are approximately 80 nucleotides in length. Their secondary structure includes four short double-helical elements and three loops (D, anti-codon, and T loops).
Source: RNAcentral
AAAAAAGCCGGGAUAGCUCAGUUGGUAGAGCANAGGACUGAAAAUCCUCGUG